CCCAGGUCAGGCGGGGCUACCCGCUGAAUUUAAGCAUAUCAAU
Molecule: ribosomal RNA, 43 nt
Filed under: Silene hicesiae
Lineage: Eukaryota; Viridiplantae; Streptophyta; Magnoliopsida; Caryophyllales; Caryophyllaceae
Description: partial 26S ribosomal RNA
Source: RNAcentral